UCAAACCUUGGCAUUGAUUGUUAAGAUCAGAUGAUGUAUAUUCUUCUUCCUGAUCCCGUUUAGUCAUCAACACUUUCUCCUUAAGGAAGACACGUUUGGGGUAGACAUGAUCGGAUCUCUACUUCCUUUUUCUCAAUUUCCUGUACACCGAUGUUGGUUCUCUACCUCCCUAGAAAAUGAUUCAACAGGUUUUGAGUCGAACUGGUGGUAUGCUCAAUUUGUAAUAUAUUUAUCUCUUGUAUCAGAUGCCAGAAUGUCAAAGUACGGUGGAAUGAUGUGAAAUUAUAACAAGUGAAAACACAAAAAUCAAUGAAGUCACAGAAUUCAGGGAAGAAGAAGAUAUAGAAUGAAAUGACGUAAUGAUGAAUAAUAACUAAUUCCAGGGAAUCUUCCUCUAUCACUAGUACAUACUAGGAGCCAAUUAGAAACCAAAGAAAAAUAAUGUAACAAGUACAAUAACGAGAUCUUACUUCCCUUUUAUUUUUCUCUCA
This is a non-coding RNA of Lactuca sativa (garden lettuce), 491 nucleotides long. Lineage: Eukaryota; Viridiplantae; Streptophyta; Magnoliopsida; Asterales; Asteraceae. The record is from RefSeq and is a predicted model, not a curated record.